AACGAACGCUGGCGGCAUGCCUAACACAUGCAAGUCGAACGAGACCUUCGGGUCUAGUGGCGCACGGGUGCGUAACGCGUGGGAAUCUGCCCUUAGGUUCGGAAUAACUUCGGGAAACUGAAGCUAAUACCGGAUGAUGACGUAAGUCCAAAGAUUUAUCGCCUAAGGAUGAGCCCGCGUUGGAUUAGCUAGUUGGUGAGGUAAAGGCUCACCAAGGCGACGAUCCAUAGCUGGUCUGAGAGGAUGAUCAGCCACACUGGGACUGAGACACGGCCCAGACUCCUACGGGAGGCAGCAGUGGGGAAUAUUGGACAAUGGGCGAAAGCCUGAUCCAGCAAUGCCGCGUGAGUGAUGAAGGCCUUAGGGUUGUAAAGCUCUUUUACCCGGGAUGAUAAUGACAGUACCGGGAGAAUAAGCUCCGGCUAACUCCGUGCCAGCAGCCGCGGUAAACUACUG
This 456-nucleotide ribosomal RNA is filed under the name uncultured bacterium. RNAcentral's name for it is "bacterial SSU rRNA". It matches the Rfam family "Bacterial small subunit ribosomal RNA", at positions 29 to 528 of the family's 1533-position model. The record is from RNAcentral.